GACGAACGCUGGCGGCGUGCUUAACACAUGCAAGUCGAACGAAGAGCGACGGAAGCUUGCUUCUAUCAAUCUUAGUGGCGAACGGGUGAGUAACGCGUAAUCAACCUGCCCUUCAGAGGGGGACAACAGUUGGAAACGACUGCUAAUACCGCAUACGAUCUAAUCUCGGCAUCGAGGAUGGAUGAAAGGUGGCCUCUACAUGUAAGCUAUCACUGAAGGAGGGGAUUGCGUCUGAUUAGCUAGUUGGAGGGGUAACGGCCCACCAAGGCGAUGAUCAGUAGCCGGUCUGAGAGGAUGAACGGCCACAUUGGGACUGAGACACGGCCCAGACUCCUACGGGAGGCAGCAGUGGGGAAUCUUCCGCAAUGGACGAAAGUCUGACGGAGCAACGCCGCGUGAGUGAUGACGGCCUUCGGGUUGUAAAGCUCUGUUAAUCGGGACGAAAGGCCUUCUUGCGAAUAGUGAGAAGGAUUGACGGUACCGGAAGAGAAAGCCACGGCUAACCACGUG
RNAcentral lists this ribosomal RNA (510 nucleotides) under uncultured bacterium. Its description in RNAcentral is "partial 16S ribosomal RNA". It matches the Rfam family "Bacterial small subunit ribosomal RNA", at positions 28 to 507 of the family's 1533-position model. The record is from RNAcentral.